This is a non-coding RNA of Podarcis lilfordi (Lilford's wall lizard), 3303 nucleotides long. NCBI's taxonomy places the organism in Eukaryota, Metazoa, Chordata, Lepidosauria, Squamata, Lacertidae. The record is from the annotation of a GenBank genome assembly.
AGAGAAUAUUGAGAAGCAAAGCAGCUAGUAAGCCUGAUCUUUAUUGAUCUGUUGCAACAGGGUGCUCCCCUCACACGCAGGAGGACGGAGGAGGACCCCGAACCAAGGUGUGCCUGCCCUUAUAUAGACAUUUUAAAUUCCCUGCCCUGGAGCUCAAGACCACCCCUCCAUACAUCAUACAUACAUCACAGAAGGGGUGUAACCUGACCACCCCCCACAAACAUCAUACCUACAUCACAGAAAAGGUGGUCUACAACAGAAAUUUGAAUGUUGUUGUUUUUCCUGUCUGCCAGGUUAUCUGAUAAUGCCUUAUCUGAUUGCCUUUCCUGGUAGUCUGCCCAUUCCUUUGAAAUGGUGAUUACCCAAUUCCUGCCCUCCCUCCUUGCAGAGAAAACAUUUGGUCGGUUUAGGAGUCAAAAUGGUUUCAGGUUGGUACAUUUAUGAACAUUUAUUAUAUAUAAAAGACCUUAAAUUUUAUUAUUACACUAGCAACCUCAAAACCACAUGUUAUGUACUGAAGUUCUCACCCUGGGCCAGCAGGGGGAUACUGUAGAUAGUUAUGCAAAUGAAGGAUUGAAAGUGACGUUCAGUGAUUGGAUAGUUUGUAUGCAAAUGAAGGAUCGAAAGUGAUGUUCAGUGAUUGGAUAGUUUUAGAAAGCUGCAACAGUUACAUUGUUCUGGAGCUCUAUAUAAGCAGGCUGACUGAGCUCCUCAGUUCAGUUCUGUUCUGGCAUCUGAAUAAAGAAGAGCUGUUUGAAGAAUCGCUGUCGUCUGAUAUGUCCACCCACAACUUAACACCACACAAUCCACCCACUGCAGUUUUCGUUGUUGAAAAUUAGCCACCUAGUCAAUGCCAAUCUGACUCACCGUGUAAACAACAGCAAAUAUAACUUACGUAUCAGCUGCUUGAAGGAACCACAAGCUUUGGAGAAGUACAGUUGUUUUUUCUAAAUGGGGAAUCCCAAAAUAAGGGCUGAGCAUUCUUAGUCGCUGAUGAAUGCUGGUUGGCAGGGGAGCGGGAAACCUGAAAAGUUGUGCUCUGUAGUGUGACAUUUUUGUUGCAGGUCCCACCUGUAGAAUUUAAACCAGGGGUCAGCAACCUUUUUCAGCAGGGGGCCAAGCCACCGUCCCUCAGACCAUGUGGUGGGCCAGACUAUAUUUUGAAGGGGGAAAAAAUGAACAAAUUCCUAUGCCUCACAAAUACACCAGAGAUGCAUUUUAAAUAAAAGGACACGUUCUAUUCAUGUAAAAACACACUGAUUCCUGGACCGUCCGCGGGCCAGAUUUAGAAGGUGAUUGGGCCGGAUCCAGCCCCCAGGCCAUAGUUUGCCUAUCCAUGAUUUAAACAUUAUAUUUUGCAGAUAAAGUUACUUUUCAGCACAAGGAUCUCUCUCUUUGCCCAGUGGAACAUUCUCCCCCUCUCCUCUUCUCUCCUGGCCCCUAAAUUUGUUCUGGGGGUUCCCUCCACCCUCCAGAGCAGAUUUGGGGGUCAGCACAGGUUUUGCUGGGGGUGCGGUGGCGAGUCCUGUUGUGCUAGUAGCACUAAUCCAUGCACAACUAUUUAAUUGAAUACCGCCUACUAAAAAUGGCUUCACCCCCCUGUAGUCCAAAGUGGUACAGUCCUCCACAUUCUGCUGCACAUGCAGACCAGGCCGAAAUCCAAUAAUUAUUCGAAAAGCUUUCCAGAAUUAACCAGGGACACCUGUCAUAAUUUGCAUCCUAGCUCAAUCAUUUACCUCUCCUCAGAGCAUUCUGAUCAGGGCCGGAUUUAGGUUUGAUGAGGCCCCCGAGCUACUGAAGGUAAUGGGGCGCCUUUCUAUGUCCAGCUGUCCUUUGUCAACAACAAAUUGUAGCUGUUUUUUGUGUGUUGAAUAUAUGCUAUAUGGUAAUUUAUGGACUUAAUAGGUAUCUAAAGCCAUUUGCACAUAACAAAAUAUGUAUUUUAUCAAAGUAAUUGUUGAACUGAAAUACAAUUAAGAAGAAAUACCGUAUUUUUCGCUCUAUAACACGCACCCGACCAUAACACGCACGUAGUUUUUAGAGGAGGAAAAUCCGUAGGCAUGCCACCCGUAGGCAUUCCCUCCAUAACACGCACAGACAUUUCCCCUUACUUUCUAGGAGGAAAAAAGUGAGUGUUAUGGUGCAAAAAAUACGGUAUAUUAAUUGUGAAAUACAAUUAAGAAGAAGUAUAUUAAUUGUGAAAUGAUUAUUAAGCUCUAACUUAAAAUGAUUUUUUUAUUCAUAACAAACUUAAUAAUGCAAACACAUUGGCAUUUGGCAAUAGCAAAACACAGUUUACAAAGACUCAUAAUCUAGUCUCUAGAAACUUGCUAUAACAUGAAAUAAUAAUUGUAGGUUUUAUUUUAUUUGUUUUUUAUCUUAUAUUUUGGAAGUGUGCAUCCAGAUGUUUUUCCUUUAAAUUUGGGGGGGCUCCCAAGAGAAUGUGGGACGCGGGUGGCGCUGUGGGUUAAACCACAGAGCGUAGGACUUGCUGAUCAGAAGGUCGGCGGUUUGAAUCCCCGUGACGGGGUGAGCUCCCGUUGCUCAGUCCCUGCUCCUGCCCACCUAGCAGUUUGACAGCAUGCCAGGGCAAGUAGAUAACAAAUCCAUACGACUGGGAUGCCCACCAAAUUUCACUACCAUGAUGCCUCUGAAAAUCUUGUAUUUUCAAUUUAUUGAACACUUUCAUAUACUGCAGAUUAAAGUUUUACAAUCACAUAACCAACAUACAACAUAAAAACAAGAUUCCAAGGAAUCUCUUAGACUUCCCUCCUCACUUUUGUGGGACCUAUUGUUAAUCAUUUCCUCCUGCGCCUUUUAUAAUAAUCCAAAUCUUUCAUCUCUCCAUUGUAUCCAAAAUUCACCAUUGAACCACAAAUGAUAUUAAAAUCCUGCUAACGGUUUUAACUGUUUACAAUGGUCUUUAAGAUAAGUUAUAAAUUUUCCCCAUUCCUUAUUACAAUUUUGGUCUUCCUGAUUUCUGAUUCUUCCGGUCAUUUUAGCUAUUUCGUCGUAAUCCAUCAACUUGAUCUGCCAUUCUUCUCUGGCUGGGCCUUUUAUCUUCUUUCCAUACUGCUUUUUUAAGGUGACCUCACAAAGUGGUUUACGUGAAGUCAUUAAAACGUUGAGCGCCAUUGAAAAGCAUGCAGCUCAUUGGAGGGAAAAGACUAGCAGCUGUUUAUGCUGAAGAUGGAGGGCUGGCCGCCACUGGGAGCCAGAAGGUGGUGAGGUUCACCAUGCCACAACCUCAACCUCUCCCAUCUCCUCGGAGCAAGGAGCUUCCGCAGCAGCCGUCGGGCGAGG